Molecule: long non-coding RNA, 219 nt
Filed under: Homo sapiens (human)
Lineage: Eukaryota; Metazoa; Chordata; Mammalia; Primates; Hominidae
Description: HSALNT0025505
Source: RNAcentral
UAUCUCCCUCCACACUGUGCUGCCUGGGCUUGAUGUAGGGGUGAUGUAAGGAAUGUCAAGCUGUCCUUCCUAUCCUAUUCGAUAGUCUGUUUUACUCUGAUGCUUUUCUGAAAGCUCUUGCAGUCCGCUACAAGCCAGAGUGCUUCAUCUUUAACAAAAUGUGACUAUCUCUGUGACCCAUGGAAAGAACAAUAACAGGUAAUCCGGGGUACAAGCAUC